GAAAGCGACGGGCUAUGUGGCGCGGUAAUGCGUGGGUCGCAAUGGUUGUCCGGAAUUAUGGGGCGUGAAGAGCGUGUAGGUGGCUUGGCGCGUCUGCCGUGAAAACCCGAGGCUGAACCUCGGGCGUGCGGUGGGUACGGUCAUGCUAGAGUGUGGUAGGGGAGACUGGAACUCCUGGUGUAGCGGUGAAAUGCGCAGAUAUCAGGAAGAACACCGAUGGCUAAGGCAGGUCUCUGGGCCAUUACUGACACUGAGAAGCGAAAGCAUGGGGAGCGAACAGGAUUAGAUACCCUUGUAGUC
Molecule: ribosomal RNA, 300 nt
Filed under: uncultured Desulfurococcus sp.
Lineage: Archaea; Thermoproteati; Thermoproteota; Thermoprotei; Desulfurococcales; Desulfurococcaceae
Description: bacterial SSU rRNA
Rfam family: Bacterial small subunit ribosomal RNA
Source: RNAcentral